Molecule: non-coding RNA, 1422 nt
Organism: Microcebus murinus (gray mouse lemur)
Lineage: Eukaryota; Metazoa; Chordata; Mammalia; Primates; Cheirogaleidae
Source: RefSeq, a predicted model, not a curated record
CACCUGGGGGGAUUGCAGGCUGUGGGGCCCUGCAUGAGCCGGGGAACCCGUGUCCACUCGUUUCUUCCUUUCUAGGGCAUGUCAGCAGCCUUAGAGCGACACGAGAAGGAAAAGAAGGCAGCUUUUCUGUUGAAGAAAACAAAACUCCAAGCAGCUGCCCCGUGGAAAGGCCCCGCCUCUGGGUUCCUCCGCACAGGUGCCCCGGGAUGAAAGGCUGCCUGGCAGAGCCGUCGGGUCUUGGGGCGGGCUGCGUGUGAUCUGACCCCGUGCUGCACAGGUGCCCAGCGCUGCCGGUGCCUGCCAUCCCUCAAGGGGCUGCAGCGAAACCCCAGGCUGUAGGGAGGGGCAGCCCCAGCCUCAGGGUGGAGCAAAAUGGGCUGAGCCAAGGCGAUGUAUGUGCCUCCCACUGUGACCAUGAGAUCGCAGCCUCCAUGGUGUGAGAAAGCCCAGGCCACAUGGACAGGCCACACGAGACACAGGAGGCACUGGGGGAAGUCUUCAGGGGGACUUCAGAGGAAGGUCUCCUCACUUCUGAUAGCUCGAGGAAGAGAUGGUCUCUCUUCUGUCCAGCUGUGAUGCCUGAGAACUUCUGUGGCCAUUUUCCUUCCGGCCAACACGUGGAGUAGGGCGACUCUCAGAAAACCAGAGAGCAGACCCUGACACUUUCCUUGUUAGCUGUGUGGCCUUAGACCAGUUGCUUCACCUCUCUGGUUGUCCUCAGUUACCACACCUUGAAGUGGGAGUACUGGUUCUACUUCAGAGGAUGCAACUGGAGGUUUGUAGCCUGUAUCUGAUCUGCAACUAUGGUCAGCUGACAGAGUGUUUUGCUUUCUUUAAAUAUUGAGUUUGUUCCUGGGUGUAUACAAAUGUCCACACUUACCAAACUGUACACUUCAAAUACUGUACACUUCAGAGUUUAUUGCAUGUCAGUUAUACCUCAAAGAAACUGUCCAAAGUCAAGUUUGCUGACAGUGUUUACAAUCAGAAGAUCUCACCUAAAACUCUGGAUUUCUUGUUUCUCUGAAGAAAAAAAGGAAAUACUGGCAGUGCCCAACCCACAUUCCUCCAGAUGGGGUUUCUGCUUCGGUCCCUGUGGUCCCACCAGCACCUCUUGCUCAGUUACUUUCGCUGCGGCCCUCUGGUGAUGUUCGAGUUUGUGACUCUGACUUGCCUCAUGGGUUCUCACGUUGGUGGCGAGCCUUGGUACUCGGCCUGUCGCCUGCAGCCGUCCUGGGAGCCAAUUAGGAGGGCAGAAUCCUAGGCCUCACCCCGCGCCUCCUGAAUCAAAGCUGCAUUUUCACAAGAUCCUCUGGUGUUCUUUGCACACUCAAGUUCAGAAACCACUGGCUCUGAAGAUUAGAAACGAUGUCUGAAAGUCGCCUGGCUCAGCCGCUAAGGACGAACUGUGGCUGUGUCAUUUAA